RNAcentral lists this ribosomal RNA (2905 nucleotides) under Klebsiella oxytoca. RNAcentral describes it as "bacterial LSU rRNA". It matches the Rfam family "Bacterial large subunit ribosomal RNA". Lineage: Bacteria; Pseudomonadati; Pseudomonadota; Gammaproteobacteria; Enterobacterales; Enterobacteriaceae. The record is from RNAcentral. RNAcentral also lists the same sequence under 1 other name.
UUAAGCGACUAAGCGUACACGGUGGAUGCCCUGGCAGUCAGAGGCGAUGAAGGACGUGCUAAUCUGCGAAAAGCGUCGGUAAGGUGAUAUGAACCGUUAUAGCCGGCGAUGUCCGAAUGGGGAAACCCAGUGCAAUUCGUUGCACUAUCGUUAACUGAAUACAUAGGUUAACGAGGCGAACCGGGGGAACUGAAACAUCUAAGUACCCCGAGGAAAAGAAAUCAACCGAGAUUCCCCCAGUAGCGGCGAGCGAACGGGGAGCAGCCCGGAGUCUGAAUCAGCUUGUGUGUUAGUGGAAGCGUCUGGAAAGUCGCAGGGUACAGGGUGAUACUCCCGUACACUAAAACACACAGGCUGUGAACUCGAAGAGUAGGGCGGGACACGUGGUAUCCUGUCUGAAUAUGGGGGGACCAUCCUCCAAGGCUAAAUACUCCUGACUGACCGAUAGUGAACCAGUACCGUGAGGGAAAGGCGAAAAGAACCCCGGCGAGGGGAGUGAAAAAGAACCUGAAACCGUGUACGUACAAGCAGUAGGAGCCUCUUUAUGGGGUGACUGCGUACCUUUUGUAUAAUGGGUCAGCGACUUAUAUUCUGUAGCAAGGUUAACCGUAUAGGGGAGCCGCAGGGAAACCGAGUCUUAACUGGGCGUUAAGUUGCAGGGUAUAGACCCGAAACCCGGUGAUCUAGCCAUGGGCAGGUUGAAGGUUGGGUAACACUAACUGGAGGACCGAACCGACUAAUGUUGAAAAAUUAGCGGAUGACUUGUGGCUGGGGGUGAAAGGCCAAUCAAACCGGGAGAUAGCUGGUUCUCCCCGAAAGCUAUUUAGGUAGCGCCUCGUGAACUCAUCUUCGGGGGUAGAGCACUGUUUCGGCUAGGGGGUCAUCCCGACUUACCAACCCGAUGCAAACUACGAAUACCGAAGAAUGUUAUCACGGGAGACACACGGCGGGUGCUAACGUCCGUCGUGAAGAGGGAAACAACCCAGACCGCCAGCUAAGGUCCCAAAGUCAUGGUUAAGUGGGAAACGAUGUGGGAAGGCCCAGACAGCCAGGAUGUUGGCUUAGAAGCAGCCAUCAUUUAAAGAAAGCGUAAUAGCUCACUGGUCGAGUCGGCCUGCGCGGAAGAUGUAACGGGGCUAAACCAUGCACCGAAGCUGCGGCAGCGACACUAUGUGUUGUUGGGUAGGGGAGCGUUCUGUAAGCCGUUGAAGGUGGCCUGUGAGGGUUGCUGGAGGUAUCAGAAGUGCGAAUGCUGACAUAAGUAACGAUAAUGCGGGUGAAAAACCCGCACGCCGGAAGACCAAGGGUUCCUGUCCAACGUUAAUCGGGGCAGGGUGAGUCGACCCCUAAGGCGAGGCCGAAAGGCGUAGUCGAUGGGAAACAGGUUAAUAUUCCUGUACUCGGUGUUACUGCGAAGGGGGGACGGAGAAGGCUAUGUUGGCCGGGCGACGGUUGUCCCGGUUUAAGCAUGUAGGCGGAUGUUCCAGGUAAAUCCGGAACGUUAUCAACGCUGAGGUGUGAUGACGAGGCACUACGGUGCUGAAGUGACAAAUGCCCUGCUUCCAGGAAAAGCCUCUAAGCAUCAGGUAACAUCAAAUCGUACCCCAAACCGACACAGGUGGUCAGGUAGAGAAUACCAAGGCGCUUGAGAGAACUCGGGUGAAGGAACUAGGCAAAAUGGUGCCGUAACUUCGGGAGAAGGCACGCUGAUAGGUAGGUGAAGUGGUUUACCCAUGGAGCUGAAAUCAGUCGAAGAUACCAGCUGGCUGCAACUGUUUAUUAAAAACACAGCACUGUGCAAACACGAAAGUGGACGUAUACGGUGUGACGCCUGCCCGGUGCCGGAAGGUUAAUUGAUGGGGUUAUCCGUAAGGAGAAGCUCUUGAUCGAAGCCCCGGUAAACGGCGGCCGUAACUAUAACGGUCCUAAGGUAGCGAAAUUCCUUGUCGGGUAAGUUCCGACCUGCACGAAUGGCGUAAUGAUGGCCAGGCUGUCUCCACCCGAGACUCAGUGAAAUUGAACUCGCUGUGAAGAUGCAGUGUACCCGCGGCAAGACGGAAAGACCCCGUGAACCUUUACUAUAGCUUGACACUGAACACUGGUCCUUGAUGUGUAGGAUAGGUGGGAGGCUUUGAAGUGUGGACGCCAGUCUGCGUGGAGCCAUCCUUGAAAUACCACCCUUUAAUGGCUGGUGUUCUAACGUGGGCCCCUAAUCGGGGUUGCGGACAGUGUCUGGUGGGUAGUUUGACUGGGGCGGUCUCCUCCUAAAGAGUAACGGAGGAGCACGAAGGUCAGCUAAUCCUGGUCGGACAUCAGGAGGUUAGUGCAAUGGCAUAAGCUGGCUUGACUGCGAGCGUGACGGCGCGAGCAGGUGCGAAAGCAGGUCAUAGUGAUCCGGUGGUUCUGAAUGGAAGGGCCAUCGCUCAACGGAUAAAAGGUACUCCGGGGAUAACAGGCUGAUACCGCCCAAGAGUUCAUAUCGACGGCGGUGUUUGGCACCUCGAUGUCGGCUCAUCACAUCCUGGGGCUGAAGUAGGUCCCAAGGGUAUGGCUGUUCGCCAUUUAAAGUGGUACGCGAGCUGGGUUUAGAACGUCGUGAGACAGUUCGGUCCCUAUCUGCCGUGGGCGCUGGAGAAUUGAGGGGGGCUGCUCCUAGUACGAGAGGACCGGAGUGGACGCAUCACUGGUGUUCGGGUUGUCAUGCCAAUGGCAUUGCCCGGUAGCUAAAUGCGGAAGAGAUAAGUGCUGAAAGCAUCUAAGCACGAAACUUGCCCCGAGAUGAGUUCUCCCUGACUCCUUGAGAGUCCUGAAGGAACGUUGAAGACGACGACGUUGAUAGGCCGGGUGUGUAAGCGCAGCGAUGCGUUGAGCUAACCGGUACUAAUGAACCGUGAGGCUUAACCUU